Non-coding RNA from Triticum aestivum (bread wheat), 135 nucleotides. NCBI's taxonomy places the organism in Eukaryota, Viridiplantae, Streptophyta, Magnoliopsida, Poales, Poaceae. The record is from Rfam.
UAUAUACUCCUUCCGUUCCAAAAUUCUUGUCUUACAUUUGUCUAGAUACGAAUGUAUCUAAUACUAAAAUAUGACUUGAUACAUUCAUAUUUUAACAAAUCUAAGACAAGAAUUUUGGAAAAGAGAGAGUACUUA